Hyla sarda is the source of this 945-nucleotide long non-coding RNA. RefSeq lists it as uncharacterized. The record is from RefSeq and is a predicted model, not a curated record. The transcript has 4 exons. Lineage: Eukaryota; Metazoa; Chordata; Amphibia; Anura; Hylidae.
UUGAAGGAUUUGCUUUACACUGUUCCACUGGAUUUAGGGGUAUUGUUUAGGUCCAGCAGUCACGUAGGAUUAACGGAAUUUGGAUUGAGUAGACUCACAGUUUAGUAAGGCUCUGGAUUGGUAGGAUUCAGGCCUAAUUUGUCUUGUAGGUAAGCACAGAGCUCCGCUCGCUGUCAUAUCCCAAGGGAAAGAGUCGGACAAGAGAGCGAGGAUUGGAUAACAGCGCCCUUAUAUCUAAAAGGGCAGGCUUCAAGCUUAUUGGUCCCACAGACCUGUCAGUCCUAAUACAAAGCAUUGUGGUACAUCACGUGACAUGAGCACAUGACCUGGAAGGUCCUUAACCUUAGCAGAACAACAUAAUUAUUAAUCAUGUGACCUAAGGUCCUGGAAGCAACAUUUACACUAUACAAUAUAUAAAAUAUAUACAUAAAAUCAAAGAAGGAAGAGGCGACUAGGGGUUAUCCCACUAAGAGCAUCCUAUCAGUAUGGAGAAACUCUGACUUUGGGGACUUAUUACACAAGGAUCCAUGAUGGGCAUCUCGUACUUGGACAUUUCUUCUUCACAGGCUGUAUCUACACAACACAUUUUCGAUGAAUUAACAGAAGUGAGAAUCCCCAUAAUGAUGUCUGAAUCAUCUCGCUGAUCCCUGGAACGUGAAACAGAGCCAGAGUGGUGCAAUGGAGGAAGGAAGAUCCUGUAAACAUAUAAGGGGUUACUGACUGCUGUCUGAUUAAAUUACAACAGAAGGCCUUGUCAUGUAAUGGACUCUGAUGGCGGAGACUGAUAAGAACAUGGAAAAUUAAUUUCAUGGAGCUAAGGGACAUGCCAGAGAAAGAAAAAUGAGAUGAAGGUUUAAUGGAGUGAUUCUGAGUACAAUCUGGAACUUGUUGCUUGUCCUUAUAAUACAAUGUCUAUGGAUUUAAGUUUAUUAAAUGACCCUCGGG